UUUAUCUGGUAAAGCGAAUGAUUAGAGGUCUUGGGGCCGAAACGAUCUCAACCUAUUCUCAAACUUUAAAUGGGUAAGAAGCCCGGCUCGCUGGCUUGGAGCCGGGCGUGGAAUGCGAGCCGCCUAGUGGGCCACUUUUGGUAAGCAGAACUGGCGCUGCGGGAUGAACCGAACGCCGGGUUAAGGCGCCCGAUGCCGACGCUCAUCAGACCCCAGAAAAGGUGUUGGUCGAUAUAG
RNAcentral lists this ribosomal RNA (237 nucleotides) under Morone chrysops (white bass). RNAcentral describes it as "partial 28S ribosomal RNA". It matches the Rfam family "Eukaryotic large subunit ribosomal RNA", at positions 1000 to 1236 of the family's 3401-position model. The record is from RNAcentral. Lineage: Eukaryota; Metazoa; Chordata; Actinopteri; Moronidae.